Molecule: non-coding RNA, 75 nt
Organism: Myotis lucifugus (little brown bat)
Lineage: Eukaryota; Metazoa; Chordata; Mammalia; Chiroptera; Vespertilionidae
Source: Rfam
GGCGAUUCUCAGGUGACAUACCCCAGAAUCGAGCUCCCUCUUCUCUGGUUCUGGGUGCGUCACCCAAGAACUGCA